RNAcentral lists this non-coding RNA (29 nucleotides) under Rattus norvegicus (Norway rat). Lineage: Eukaryota; Metazoa; Chordata; Mammalia; Rodentia; Muridae. The record is from RNAcentral.
UGAUAGCCUUGCAGGAGACGUUGGGCAUU